Non-coding RNA from Camelina sativa (false flax), 382 nucleotides. The record is from RefSeq and is a predicted model, not a curated record. NCBI's taxonomy places the organism in Eukaryota, Viridiplantae, Streptophyta, Magnoliopsida, Brassicales, Brassicaceae.
GCUGUGGAACGGAGAUGAUCUAUGACUCAGGUUCUCGUUUGAUCACAUUACCAGAAGGUGGCAAAGCUUAAACCUAUGAGCCAAGGGAAAUGUAUGUAAAAUUGAUAUACUAACAGAUGAAGAGGUGAAGAAAUUAAAGAAGAAGAAGAAGAAAAGCAAAAGACUUUGUUUGUGUGCUUUUUGGUAUAAUCUUCAGAUCUUUUCUUGUAGUUGUCAUUGACUUAUACUGUGUCGGUAAGUAAUGUGAGGCGCAAUCAAAGAAAAACAUCGUAUGGUUACUUCUUUGAGAAACUUUGCUCUCAUUAGAAAACCAGGAAAAAUAGCACCACCUUGGUUGAUUUUGAAAUAAUACUUUUAUUUCAUUUUUUGUUUGUUUGUUAUA